Patiria miniata (bat star) is the source of this 589-nucleotide long non-coding RNA. RefSeq lists it as uncharacterized. The record is from RefSeq and is a predicted model, not a curated record. NCBI's taxonomy places the organism in Eukaryota, Metazoa, Echinodermata, Asteroidea, Valvatida, Asterinidae. The transcript is spliced from 3 exons.
CUCCCUGCAAACACAUUGAGCUAAGGGUUCUCGGGUAGUGAGAUACGACAUUCGAAAUCAGAAAUACACGAGGAGAGGGGCAGAGGGCAACGUUUGCCAGCCGCAAUCUAUGGGAGUUUUGCCAGCUAAUUAGAGCUGAAGACACUGUUGUGUGAGGCUUUAGAUAGCACUUCAUUCUAAGAGAAGUCCGAGCUAUUGAGAGUUUCGGCUCAUGAACCAGGAUCGCCACAGACCUGGUUCCUCCGUGAGAGACGGAAAGCAAAGGGCUGCUGGACGGGUGAGGCUUGACGGUCAAGGUGCUACCACAUUACCCUCUUCUGACCACGGAGCACGCACUCAGUGACGCCACAAUCACACGAGGGAGGCCGCACUGCCACAAGUGCCGACGGGUCGACCGUGUAGAAACAGUCGCCACAGCCCCAACGGUGUAAAUAACGAAAAUUGGAAAAUUUGUAUAUACAUACUGUAAAUUUUAAUUAAUAAUAUAUUACCUCUGUUUAACAGUUAUUAGUGUGUGUUGAUAUCAUGGGGUCCGCUCAUAAGUCCGACGCCUCAUAGGUCCAACGCCUCAUAAGUCCGACAAAAUCGC